This 443-nucleotide ribosomal RNA is filed under the name uncultured bacterium. Its description in RNAcentral is "partial 16S ribosomal RNA". It matches the Rfam family "Bacterial small subunit ribosomal RNA", at positions 338 to 795 of the family's 1533-position model. The record is from RNAcentral.
CCUACGGGCGGCAGCAGUGGGGGAUAUUGGACAAUGGGGGGAACCCUGAUCCAGCGACGCCGCGUGAGUGAAGAAGUAUUUCGGUAUGUAAAGCUCUGUCAGCAGGGAAGAAAGAAAUGACGGUACCUGACCAAGAAGCCCCGGCUAACUACGGGCCAGCAGCCGCGGUAAUACGUAGGGGGCAAGCGUUAACCGGAAUUACUGGGUGGAAAGGGAGCGUAGACGGUUAAAUAAGUCUGGAGUGAAAGGCCGGGGCCCAACCCCGGGACUGCUCUGGAAACUAUUGAACUUGAGUGCAGGGGAGGUAAGCGGAAUUCCUAGUGUAGCGGUGAAAUGCGUAGAUAUUAGGAGGAACACCAGUGGCGAAGGCGGCUUACUGGACUGUAACUGACGUUGAGGCUCGAAAGCGUGGGGAGCAAACAGGAUUAGAUACCCGAGUAGUC